CAUGGUAUGUACUGGCUUUACUGAUUCCUCCUUCUUGAAGAACUGUAAUGUCAUUAAUUUGGUGUUGCAGGGAAACAGGACUGUUACUUUGAAAAAAUUAGAGUCGUUUAAAGCAGGCUAACGCUUGAAUACAUUAGCAUGGAAUAAUGAAAUAGGACGUUUGAUCCUAUUUUGUUGGUUUCUAGGAUAGACGUAAUGAUUAAUAGGGAUAGUUGGGGGCAUUAGUAUUCAAUUGUCAGAGGUGAAAUUCUUGGAUUUAUUGAAGACUGACUACUGCGAAAGCAUUUGCCAAGGAUGUUUUCAUUAAUCAAGAACGAAAGUUAGGGGAUCGAAGACGAUCAGAUACCGUCGUAGUCUUAACCAUAAACUAUGCCGACUAGGGAUCGGAUGAUGUUAAUUUUUUAAUGACUCAUUCGGCGCCUUACG
This 426-nucleotide ribosomal RNA is filed under the name uncultured Glomeromycotina. Its description in RNAcentral is "SSU rRNA". It matches the Rfam family "Eukaryotic small subunit ribosomal RNA", at positions 669 to 1092 of the family's 1831-position model. The record is from RNAcentral. Lineage: Eukaryota; Fungi; Glomeromycota.